RNAcentral lists this long non-coding RNA (446 nucleotides) under Oreochromis niloticus (Nile tilapia). Its description in RNAcentral is "lncRNA (ENSONIG00000028587.1)". The record is from RNAcentral. Lineage: Eukaryota; Metazoa; Chordata; Actinopteri; Cichliformes; Cichlidae.
CUGCAUUUGCCUUUAUCAUCAUUGAUUUAAUAAUCAUAUGCUUUGUGUUUGUUGUACACUGCUUCAAACACACCUGCUUCCGUGCCACAAACAACAGCAACAACACAGAGUGAAAGUGUCACUCCAGGAGUCUCUACACAUUGUCCUGACUCCUCCUGGCUUCUGGUUGUGCGUGCGUCCUUGGAUGGUGUUUUGCUGAUGGCUGUUUUCCUCAUGCUCUUCUACAUUAGUAAGACAAGGAGGAACUUUGGACUGAACACCAGAGAAAAUGACACAAACAUGGAGGAUCCACCCUCCAGACAUAAAGAGUCCAAAAGGACCAGGGCCAAACCUACUCUGCAUUUUUAAAGACCAAAAUCUAAUAAUUGUAAACUUUACCUGUUUUACAUUUGGCCGAUGUACUGGCUUAUCUUCUUUUCCAACAAUGAUUUCAUUUUGAUAUUUUU